AUUGAACGCUGGCGGAAUGCUUUACACAUGCAAGUCGAACGGUAGAGGGGGCAACCCCUUGAGAGUGGCGAACGGGUGAGUAAUAUAUCGGAACGUGCCCAGUCGUGGGGAUAACGUAGCGAAAGUUACGCUAAUACCGCAUACGAUCUAAGGAUGAAAGCGGGGGAUCGCAAGACCUCGCGCGAUUGGAGCGGCCGAUAUCAGAUUAGGUAGUUGGUGAGGUAAAGGCUCACCAAGCCGACGAUCUGUAGCUGGUCUGAGAGGACGACCAGCCACACUGGGACUGAGACACGGUCCAGACUCCUACGGGAGGCAGCAGUGGGGAAUUUUGGACAAUGGGCGAAAGCCUGAUCCAGCAAUGCCGCGUGAGUGAAGAAGGCCUCGGUGU
This 388-nucleotide ribosomal RNA is filed under the name uncultured bacterium. Its description in RNAcentral is "bacterial SSU rRNA". It matches the Rfam family "Bacterial small subunit ribosomal RNA", at positions 30 to 423 of the family's 1533-position model. The record is from RNAcentral.